RNAcentral lists this ribosomal RNA (263 nucleotides) under uncultured bacterium. Its description in RNAcentral is "partial 16S ribosomal RNA". It matches the Rfam family "Bacterial small subunit ribosomal RNA", at positions 793 to 1055 of the family's 1533-position model. The record is from RNAcentral.
GUCCACGCGGUAAACGAUGAGUACUAGGUGUCGCGGGUAUUGACCCCUGCGGUGCCGCAGCUAACGCAUUAAGUACUCCGCCUGGGAAGUACGGCCGCAAGGCUAAAACUCAAAGGAAUUGACGGGGCCCGCACAAGCGGUGGAGCAUGUGGUUUAAUUCGACGCAACGCGCAGAACCUUACCUGGGCUUGACAUCCGCGGAACCUCUGUGAAAGCAGGGGGUGCCUUCGGGAGCCGCGAGACAGGUGCUGCAUGGCUGUCGU